Molecule: long non-coding RNA, 1096 nt
Filed under: Cyanistes caeruleus (blue tit)
Lineage: Eukaryota; Metazoa; Chordata; Aves; Passeriformes; Paridae
Description: lncRNA (ENSCCEG00000012763.1)
Source: RNAcentral
GUACGGUCAUAAUGGGACUAAUUUGGAAGAUCAAAGUGACUAGCUAGCUACCUGAUGAAGAAAUCACACAAUGAUUUUCUUGUCAUUACUCAUAUCUUUGGCUAUCAGAGAAAGUGGAAUAGCAAGAGCAGAAGAGAACAAAUCCAUCAGUUCUUGGAGUGCUUAGGGCUUUGCCCCAGCUAGUUUGGCAUUAGGCCCAAACACAGUGCCCAGGCUGCACUGACCUUAAGGUGGAAAUAAAGUUGCGUGCUUUUCACAGCAUUUUGGAUCAGUCAGCUACCAUUUGUUGAUGACUAUGAUGAGGAACUGAUCAAUUAAUAAAGGUAAUUGAAUGGUAUAUAUAUUUUCUUAUUUUCUCCAAGGGACACCAAAAGCUGCCAUGGGCUAGUAACUAUGAGCCUUUCUGAGAGGGGGCUUUCGACAUUUUCACCUUUUUUAUUGCAAUUUGUGUGUAAAUUUCACCCCAGAGGAAGCCAGUCUCCAUAUUUCCAGCAUUCUGAUGGCUAUUGAGAAUCCCUAUUUCUAUGUCCUUGGCCUUUCCCGUGUGACAGAGAGUGUGAGGCAUGGAUGAUGACUUCCCUGUUAAGCAGGCCACAGAAAAAGAACACUGCUUUUCAGAGAGGGGGAAGAAAACAAGACCCCAAAGAGGAACCGUGGAAUCUUCACUCAUUGAAAAUUGUCACUUGGGAAGUGUUGGCAGCAGAGCGACAAUAUUGUGAUUAUCCCAGUCUGGGAAUUAUUUUAAAGAAGUUUCCACAAAAUUUCUUGUUGCACUCUCACUGUCUUCCUCCUCCCCCUUUCCCUCCUAAUCACGGGUGUAAUAAUCGUGCUUUCUAGUGCCACUUUGAUUACGCAUCUUUCCAUCUUUUUUGGAUCUGUACGUUUUUUCAUUACAAGCUGUACAUUAAGUGAUUUAUCUCUUGGCCAGGCUUUUAGGAGGCUGUGAUUUGGCACAGAUGUGGCUUAGCCUAGCGAAGAGUUGUUGGACAAGCAAUACCUGGCCAUAGCGCUAUUGUACAGGUGUGGGCGCACAGAGAAGUGCUGGGAGGAACUGUGGCCGGUCAAGCCCCUUUAGAGCAGGGACCCUCUGCAAAAC